AAGCGUGCGCAGGCGGUUAUGUAAGACAGAUGUGAAAUCCCCGGGCUCAACCUGGGAACUGCAUUAGUGACUGCAUAGCUGGAGUACGGCAGAGGGGGAUGGAAUUCCGCGUGUAGCAGUGAAAUGCGUAGAUAUGCGGAGGAACACCGAUGGCGAAGGCAAUCCCCCUGGACCUGUACUGACGCUCAUGCACGAAAGCGUGGGGAGCAAACAGGAUUAGAUACCCCAGU
Molecule: ribosomal RNA, 230 nt
Filed under: uncultured bacterium
Lineage: Bacteria
Description: partial 16S ribosomal RNA
Rfam family: Bacterial small subunit ribosomal RNA
Source: RNAcentral